CCUACGGGAGGCAGCAGUAGGGAAUAUUGCUCAAUGGGGGAAACCCUGAAGCAGCAACGCCGCGUGGAGGAUGAAGGUUCUCGGAGUGGAAACUUCUUUUGAUAGAGAAGUUAAUGACGGUAUCUAACGAAUAAGCACCGUCUAACUCCGUGCCAGCAGCCGCGGUAAUACGGAGGGUGCAAGCGUUACUCGGAAUCACUGGGCGUAAAGAGCGCGUAGGCGGGAUAGCAAGUCAGAUGUGAAAGCCUAUGGCUUAACCAUAGAACUGCAGUUGAAACUGUUAGUCUAGAGUAUGGGAGAGGUAGGUGGAAUUCUUGGUGUAGCGGUAAAAUCCGUAGAGAUCAAGAAGAAUACUGAUUGCGAAGGCGACCUGCUAGAACAUAACUGACGCUGAUGCGCGAAAGCGUGGGGAGCAAACAGGAUUAGAUACCCCGGUAGUC
This 440-nucleotide ribosomal RNA is filed under the name uncultured bacterium. RNAcentral's name for it is "partial 16S ribosomal RNA". It matches the Rfam family "Bacterial small subunit ribosomal RNA", at positions 338 to 795 of the family's 1533-position model. The record is from RNAcentral.